CACGUAGGGGGCGAGCGUUGUCCGGAAUUACUGGGCGUAAAGCGCGCGCAGGCGGAUGAUUAAGUCAGAUGUGAAACCUCUGGGCUCAACCCAGAGCAUGCAUCUGAUACUGGUUAUCUUGAGUGUAGAAGAGGAGAGUGGAAUUCCUAGUGUAGCGGUGAAAUGCGUAGAUAUUAGGAGGAACACCAGUGGCGAAGGCGACUCUCUGGUCUACAACUGACGCUGAGGCGCGAAAGCGUGGGUAGCAAACAGGAUUAGAUACC
Molecule: ribosomal RNA, 263 nt
Filed under: uncultured bacterium
Lineage: Bacteria
Description: partial 16S ribosomal RNA
Rfam family: Bacterial small subunit ribosomal RNA
Source: RNAcentral